RNAcentral lists this ribosomal RNA (252 nucleotides) under uncultured bacterium. RNAcentral's name for it is "partial 16S ribosomal RNA". It matches the Rfam family "Bacterial small subunit ribosomal RNA", at positions 524 to 776 of the family's 1533-position model. The record is from RNAcentral.
UACGUAGGGUGCAAGCGUUGUCCGGAAUUAUUGGGCGUAAAGAGCUCGUAGGCGGUCUGUUGCGUCGCUGUGAAAACCCGGGGCUCAACCCCGGGCCUGCAGCCGAUACGGGCAGACUAGAGGUAUGCAGGGGAGAACGGAAUUCCUGGUGUAGCGGUGAAAUGCGCAGAUAUCAGGAGGAACACCGGUGGCGAAGGCGGUUCUCUGGGCAUUACCUGACGCUGAGGAGCGAAAGUGUGGGGAGCGAACAGG